This 429-nucleotide ribosomal RNA is filed under the name uncultured Actinobacillus sp. RNAcentral describes it as "bacterial SSU rRNA". It matches the Rfam family "Bacterial small subunit ribosomal RNA", at positions 355 to 776 of the family's 1533-position model. Lineage: Bacteria; Pseudomonadati; Pseudomonadota; Gammaproteobacteria; Pasteurellales; Pasteurellaceae. The record is from RNAcentral.
UGGGGAAUAUUGCACAAUGGGGGGAACCCUGAUGCAGCCAUGCCGCGUGAAUGAAGAAGGCCUUCGGGUUGUAAAGUUCUUUCGGUGAUGAGGAAGGUGUUUGUUUUAAUAGAACAAGCAAUUGACGUUAGUCACAGAAGAAGCACCGGCUAACUCCGUGCCAGCAGCCGCGGUAAUACGGAGGGUGCGAGCGUUAAUCGGAAUAACUGGGCGUAAAGGGCACGCAGGCGGUGACUUAAGUGAGAUGUGAAAGCCCCGAGCUUAACUUGGGAAUUGCAUUUCAUACUGGGUCGCUAGAGUACUUUAGGGAGGGGUAGAAUUCCACGUGUAGCGGUGAAAUGCGUAGAGAUGUGGAGGAAUACCGAAGGCGAAGGCAGCCCCUUGGGAAUGUACUGACGCUCAUGUGCGAAAGCGUGGGGAGCAAACAGG